RNAcentral lists this ribosomal RNA (429 nucleotides) under Pseudomonadota bacterium. RNAcentral's name for it is "Proteobacteria bacterium partial 16S ribosomal RNA". It matches the Rfam family "Bacterial small subunit ribosomal RNA", at positions 355 to 776 of the family's 1533-position model. Lineage: Bacteria; Pseudomonadati; Pseudomonadota. The record is from RNAcentral.
UGGGGAAUAUUGGACAAUGGGCGAAAGCCUGAUCCAGCCAUGCCGCGUGUGUGAAGAAGGUCUUCGGAUUGUAAAGCACUUUAAGUUGGGAGGAAGGGCAGUAAGCGAAUACCUUGCUGUUUUGACGUUACCGACAGAAUAAGCACCGGCUAACUCUGUGCCAGCAGCCGCGGUAAUACAGAGGGUGCAAGCGUUAAUCGGAAUUACUGGGCGUAAAGCGCGCGUAGGUGGUUCGUUAAGUUGAAUGUGAAAGCCCCGGGCUCAACCUGGAAACUGCAUCCAAAACUGGCGAGCUAGAGUAGGGCAGAGGGUGGUGGAAUUUCCUGGGUAGCGGUGAAAUGCGUAGAUAUAGGAAGGAACACCAGUGGCGAAGGCGACCACCUGGGCUCAUACUGACACUGAGGUGCGAAAGCGUGGGGAGCAAACAGG